AGCUACAGGCUUAACACAUGCAAGUCGAGGGGCAGCAUGGUCUUAGCUUGCUAAGGCCGAUGGCGACCGGCGCACGGGUGAGUAACACGUAUCCAACCUGCCGUCUACUCUUGGACAGCCUUCUGAAAGGAAGAUUAAUACAAGAUGGCAUCAUGAGUCCGCAUGUUCACAUGAUUAAAGGUAUUCCGGUAGACGAUGGGGAUGCGUUCCAUUAGAUAGUAGGCGGGGUAACGGCCCACCUAGUCUUCGAUGGAUAGGGGUUCUGAGAGGAAGGUCCCCCACAUUGGAACUGAGACACGGUCCAAACUCCUACGGGAGGCAGCAGUGAGGAAUAUUGGUCAAUGGGCGCAGGCCUGAACCAGCCAAGUAGCGUGAAGGAUGACUGCCCUAUGGGUUGUAAACUUCUUUUAUAAAGGAAUAAAGUCGGGUAUGUAUACCCGUUUGCAUGUACUUUAUGAAUAAGGAUCGGCUAACUCCGUGCCAGCAGCCGCGGUAAUACGGAGGAUCCGAGCGUUAUCCGGAUUUAUUGGGUUUAAAGGGAGCGUAGAUGGAUGUUUAAGUCAGUUGUGAAAGUUUGCGGCUCAACCGUAAAAUUGCAGUUGAUACUGGAUAUCUUGAGUGCAGUUGAGGCAGGCGGAAUUCGUGGUGUAGCGGUGAAAUGCUUAGAUAUCACGAAGAACUCCGAUUGCGAAGGCAGCCUGCUAAGCUGCA
RNAcentral lists this ribosomal RNA (711 nucleotides) under uncultured Bacteroidales bacterium. RNAcentral's name for it is "bacterial SSU rRNA". It matches the Rfam family "Bacterial small subunit ribosomal RNA", at positions 38 to 738 of the family's 1533-position model. Lineage: Bacteria; Pseudomonadati; Bacteroidota; Bacteroidia; Bacteroidales. The record is from RNAcentral.